Molecule: ribosomal RNA, 497 nt
Filed under: uncultured bacterium
Lineage: Bacteria
Description: partial 16S ribosomal RNA
Rfam family: Bacterial small subunit ribosomal RNA
Source: RNAcentral
GAUGAACGCUGGCGGCGUGCCUAAUACAUGCAAGUCGAACGAACAGACGAAGCAGUUGCUCGUUUGACGGUAGCGGCGGGGGGGUGUGAAACAUGUGUGGAACCCACCCUGAUGAAGGGGAAAACCUCGUGAAACCGGAGCUAAAUCCGGAUUAACUAUUCAACCCCAAGGUGCGGGAGUUAAGGGCGGUUUUGCUGUGGCUUUGCGCGGGAGCCGUGCGGCAUUAGGUGGUGGGGGGGGUAACGGAUUACCAAGGCGACGAUGCGUAGCGGAGCUGAGAGGGUGAUCGGCCACACUGGAACUGAGACACGGUCCAGACUCCUACGGUAGGCAGCAGUGGGGAAUAUUGCACAAUGGGCGAAAGCCUGAUGGAGCAAUGCCGCGUGUAUGAUGAAGGCCUUCGGGUCGUAAAGUUCUGUUAUUAGGGAAGAACAGAUGAAAAAGAAAACAUGCACGUAUUGACGGUACCCACUGAAGAAGCACCGGCUAACUACGUG